This is a long non-coding RNA of Notolabrus celidotus (New Zealand spotty), 624 nucleotides long. RefSeq lists it as uncharacterized. The transcript has 3 exons. The record is from RefSeq and is a predicted model, not a curated record. Lineage: Eukaryota; Metazoa; Chordata; Actinopteri; Labriformes; Labridae.
UUGAAUGUUCUGAUUUCUAUUGUUCAGACCGAAGGACAGGACCACCUUCUCCACCGUGGUGGAGACGACGGACCUGGAGAGGAUGGCCUCAGCGUGCCUGAAAGUGGCUCCUGGGUUCAGCUGGCGUUGGACCGCAGACCUCAGCCUGCACGGAGUUGAGACAGCCACAGGACUGGGAGCAGGUGGAGGUGUCUGUGUCUGUACAGGGGGGAUCGGACUCAGUUGAGCUUCCAGCUCCUGUGGGGUCGAAUCAAUAAUUGUGUCCUGUCCCUCAUACACACAGGGGUUACGAUGAAGGGAGACAUCAGGCCCGACCUCCUUGGCUGGAGUGCGUUUCACCCUCUGGGCCUUAGGUGAGGCCUCCCGGGGGGCAGGGGAGAGGAAAGUCUCCUCACCCACUGCAGGAGACCACUCACCCUGGGCCGGCUCGGUCAUUGUGGCUACGGAGACAGGCCCCGCCGCAGGGUGCCCGCGUCGAGGCGACGGCCCAGGUUCUUUCGCGCCCAGGAAGAAGCCACCUCGAGCGGAGCACGCCAGUGGUGAGCAGACAUUUUGCUCAGUUUCACCACUUCAGCCUCCAUCACUGCCUCAUAAUGCUCCCUUAAAAUUAUCAUGGUUGUGUAU